AGUGAACGCUGGCGGUAGGCCUAACACAUGCAAGUCGAACGGCAGCACAGUAAGAGCUUGCUCUUACGGGUGGCGAGUGGCGGACGGGUGAGGAAUACAUCGGAAUCUACUUUUUCGUGGGGGAUAACGUAGGGAAACUUACGCUAAUACCGCAUACGACCUACGGGUGAAAGCAGGGGAUCUUCGGACCUUGCGCGAUUGAAUGAGCCGAUGUCGGAUUAGCUAGUUGGCGGGGUAAAGGCCCACCAAGGCGACGAUCCGUAGCUGGUCUGAGAGGAUGAUCAGCCACACUGGAACUGAGACACGGUCCAGACUCCUACGGGAGGCAGCAGCGGGGAAUAUUGGACAAUGGGCGCAAGCCUGAUCCAGCCAUACCGCGUGGGUGAAGAAGGCCUUCGGGUUGUAAAGCCCUUUUGUUGGGAAAGAAAAGCAGCAGGUUAAUACCCCGCUGUUCUGACGGUACCCAAAGAAUAAGCACCGACUAACUUCGUG
This 492-nucleotide ribosomal RNA is filed under the name uncultured bacterium. RNAcentral describes it as "partial 16S ribosomal RNA". It matches the Rfam family "Bacterial small subunit ribosomal RNA", at positions 29 to 507 of the family's 1533-position model. The record is from RNAcentral.